This 750-nucleotide ribosomal RNA is filed under the name uncultured bacterium. RNAcentral describes it as "bacterial SSU rRNA". It matches the Rfam family "Bacterial small subunit ribosomal RNA", at positions 43 to 783 of the family's 1533-position model. The record is from RNAcentral.
CAGGCCUAACACAUGCAAGUCGAGCGGACCAUUCCUUCGGGGAUGGUUAGCGGCGGACGGGUGAGUAACACGUAGGCAACCUGCCUGUAAGAUCGGGAUAACUACCGGGAACGGUAGCUAAGACCGGAUAGCUGGUUUCUCCGCAUGGAGGGAUCAUGAAACAUGGGGCAACCUGUGGCUUACGGAUGGGCCUGCGGCGCAUUAGCUAGUUGGUGGGGUAAUGGCCCACCAAGGCGACGAUGCGUAGCCGACCUGAGAGGGUGAUCGGCCACACUGGGACUGAGACACGGCCCAGACUCCUACGGGAGGCAGCAGUAGGGAAUCUUCCGCAAUGGGCGCAAGCCUGACGGAGCAACGCCGCGUGAGUGAUGAAGGUUUUCGGAUCGUAAAGCUCUGUUGCCAAGGAAGAACGCCUCGGAGAGUAACUGCUCUGGGGGUGACGGUACUUGAGAAGAAAGCCCCGGCUAACUACGUGCCAGCAGCCGCGGUAAUACGUAGGGGGCAAGCGUUGUCCGGAAUUAUUGGGCGUAAAGCGCGCGCAGGCGGUCUUUUAAGUUUGGUGUCUAAGCCCGGGGCUCAACCCCGGUUCGCACUGAAAACUGGGAGACUUGAGUGCAGGAGAGGAAAGCGGAAUUCCACGUGUAGCGGUGAAAUGCGUAGAGAUGUGGAGGAACACCAGUGGCGAAGGCGGCUUUCUGGACUGUAACUGACGCUGAGGCGCGAAAGCGUGGGGAGCAAACAGGAUUAGAU